This 751-nucleotide non-coding RNA is filed under the name Bostrichoidea sp. 4 KM-2017. Lineage: Eukaryota; Metazoa; Arthropoda; Insecta; Coleoptera. The record is from RNAcentral.
AUAAAGUUUUAUUUUAGCUUUAAAAUUAAGUUUAUUUUUUUUAUAUAUAUAUAUAUUGAUUUUUAAAUAAUUUAAUUAGUAGUAUUUAGUAUUAAUAAUAAAAUAAUUUUUGAAUUAGAAAUAAAUUUUAAUAUUAACUUAAUUUGUGCCAGCAGUUGCGGUUAUACAAAUAAUAUAAUUUAAUAUAUUUAGAAAAAAGUUAUAAUAAUUAAUAAAUAAAAAUUUAUUUUAAUUAUUAGGUGAAAUUAUAAUUAAUUAAAUUUUUAAUUUAUAUUAUUUGAGACUUUGAAAUUUAAAAUAUAAACUGGGAUUAGAUACCCCAUUAUUUUAAAAGUAAAUUUUUAAUCUUUAUUAUUAAUAGUUAUGAUCUUUAAAAUAAAAAAUUUUGGCGGUAUUUUAGUCUUUUCAGAGGAACCUGUUAUUUAAAUGAUAAUCCACGAUUUAUUUUACUUAAUUUUUGAAUUUGUAUAUCGUCGUAGAUGAAAAUUUUAUUAAAAUAUAAAUUUUCUUUUUUUUUUAAAAAUUAAAUCAGAUCAAGGUGCAGUUUAUAAUUAAGAUUUAAUGGGUUACAAUAAAUUUAUUUAAAUGAAAAAAAUUAAUAAUUUAAUUUUUAAAAGUGGAUUUGAAAGUAAAAAUUUUUAAUUAAAAAUUUUGAAUUAGCUCUAAAAUAUGUACAUAUCGCCCGUCGCUCUCAUUAAAAUGAGAUAAGUCGUAACAAAGUAGUCUUACUGGAAAGUGUGUCUAGAUAGUC